This 714-nucleotide ribosomal RNA is filed under the name Klebsiella pneumoniae. RNAcentral describes it as "bacterial SSU rRNA". It matches the Rfam family "Bacterial small subunit ribosomal RNA", at positions 42 to 747 of the family's 1533-position model. Lineage: Bacteria; Pseudomonadati; Pseudomonadota; Gammaproteobacteria; Enterobacterales; Enterobacteriaceae. The record is from RNAcentral.
GCAGGCCUAACACAUGCAAGUCGAGCGGUAGCACAGAGAGCUUGCUCUCGGGUGACGAGCGGCGGACGGGUGAGUAAUGUCUGGGAAACUGCCUGAUGGAGGGGGGUAACUACUGGAAACGGUAGCUAAUACCGCAUAACGUCGCAAGACCAAAGUGGGGGACCUUCGGGCCUCAUGCCAUCAGAUGUGCCCAGAUGGGAUUAGCUAGUAGGUGGGGUAACGGCUCACCUAGGCGACGAUCCCUAGCUGGUCUGAGAGGAUGACCAGCCACACUGGAACUGAGACACGGUCCAGACUCCUACGGGAGGCAGCAGUGGGGAAUAUUGCACAAUGGGCGCAAGCCUGAUGCAGCCAUGCCGCGUGUGUGAAGAAGGCCUUCGGGUUGUAAAGCACUUUCAGCGGGGAGGAAGGCGUUAAGGUUAAUAACCUCAUCGAUUGACGUUACCCGCAGAAGAAGCACCGGCUAACUCCGUGCCAGCAGCCGCGGUAAUACGGAGGGUGCAAGCGUUAAUCGGAAUUACUGGGCGUAAAGCGCACGCAGGCGGUCUGUCAAGUCGGAUGUGAAAUCCCCGGGCUCAACCUGGGAACUGCAUUCGAAACUGGCAGGCUAGAGUCUUGUAGAGGGGGGUAGAAUUCCAGGUGUAGCGGUGAAAUGCGUAGAGAUCUGGAGGAAUACCGGUGGCGAAGGCGGCCCCCUGGACAAAGACUGACGCU